CUUAGUGGCGGACCGGGUGAGUAACGCGUGGGUAACCUGCCUCACACUGGGGGAUAACAGUUAGAAAUAGCUGCUAAUACCGCAUAAGCGCACAGUUCCGCAUGGAACAGUGUGAAAAACUCCGGUGGUGUGAGAUGGACCCGCGUCUGAUUAGCCAGUUGGCGGGGUAACGGCCCACCAAAGCGACGAUCAGUAGCCGGCCUGAGAGGGUGAACGGCCACAUUGGGACUGAGACACGGCCCAAACUCCUACGGGAGGCAGCAUG
This 265-nucleotide ribosomal RNA is filed under the name uncultured bacterium. RNAcentral's name for it is "partial 16S ribosomal RNA". It matches the Rfam family "Bacterial small subunit ribosomal RNA", at positions 91 to 353 of the family's 1533-position model. The record is from RNAcentral.